UAUGUGAUCGUCUCUCGCAUAUCAAUAAGCGGAGGAAAAGAAACUAACAAGGAUUCCCCUAGUAACGGCGAGUGAAGCGGGAAGAGCUCAAAUUUGAAAUCUUAAAGGGUUUCCCUUUACGAAUUGUAGUUUAAAGAAGUGUUUUCUGUUGAGGUUUUGGUAAAAGUUCUUUGGAAUAGGACAUCAUAGAGGGUGAGAAUCCCGUAUUUGACCUUUACUUUCAACUUUGUGAUACACUUUCAAAGAGUCGGAUUGUUUGGGAAUGCAGUCCAAAAUGGGUGGUAAAUUUCAUCUAAAGCUAAAUAUUGGCGAGAGACCGAUAGCGAACAAGUACCGUGAGGGAAAGAUGAAAAGAACUUUGAAAAGAGAGUUAAACAGUACGUGAAAUUGUCAAAAGGGAAGCGUUUGACACCAGUGUUGUUUUUCUGAAAAUCAAUUAAAGGAACUGUUUAUGCUAAGUUGUUUAGACUUUAUCAGCUAUCUGUUUAGUUUUGAGCUUUUCUUUAAUGCACUUUUCAGUUAACAAGUCAACAUCAAUUUCUUUUGCUGUAAAAAAGCUUGAGGAAGGUGGCUUGAUGAUUCGUCUUAAGUGUUUAUAGCCUCUUGCCUAUGCAGUCGGAGAGAUUGAGGUCUGCAGCGUAGAUCCUUCGGGGCUAAAUGCAUUUGUGCUAAGUUAUAGCAUUUCAUAGACAACUUGUUGACUAUGAUUUGUCUUGUAGCUUACUCGCUUAUGUUAUUUUACCUACGCUUAGGAUGUUGACUGAUAUGUAGUCGUA
RNAcentral lists this ribosomal RNA (776 nucleotides) under uncultured Neocallimastigales. RNAcentral describes it as "partial large subunit ribosomal RNA". It matches the Rfam family "Eukaryotic large subunit ribosomal RNA", at positions 24 to 644 of the family's 3401-position model. Lineage: Eukaryota; Fungi; Neocallimastigomycota; Neocallimastigomycetes; Neocallimastigales. The record is from RNAcentral.